GGAUCAUUAUCGGGAUAGAUUUUCAUUUUUGAAGAUCAUCUUCCAUGACCCUUUUUUGUCUAUCAAAAAAAUUGUCUUUACUUCGGCAAGACGUCUUUUUUUUCGAUUUGAUUGAUAUUUCAACAAAUCAAAGAAAAAGCCAUUGGUUAGAAAUAACGAAUGAGUUUUGCUUGUCGAAGGUUUUUUUUAUAAAAACUCUUUAUUAUCAAAUGAAGUCUGAGUAAUAAACAAAAAUAAAGUUAAAACUUUCAACAACGGAUCUCUUGGUUCUGGCAUCGAUGAAGAACGCAGCGAAAUGCGAUACGUAAUGUGAAUUGCAGAAUUCAGUGAAUCAUCGAAUCUUUGAACGCACAUUGCGCCUAAGAGUAUUCUCUUAGGCAUACCUGUUCGAGCGUCGUUUAACAUUAUAAGGCUUUGCCUUGCGUUGAUAGUCUUUUGAGAGAAUGUUUUUUUCAUUUACUCAAACUAUCCAAAAUUAUUGGCAAUUUGUAAUGACCGAAUGCGCAGCGAAAUGCGAUUAUGAAAGUCAUAUAACAAUUAUUCGCCAGUCCACAUAUAAUUUAUCUGUUCGACCUC
RNAcentral lists this ribosomal RNA (576 nucleotides) under fungal sp. EXP0550F. Its description in RNAcentral is "eukaryotic LSU rRNA". The stretch from base 244 to 397 matches the Rfam family "5.8S ribosomal RNA". The record is from RNAcentral. Lineage: Eukaryota; Fungi.